This is a long non-coding RNA of Aphis gossypii (cotton aphid), 3443 nucleotides long. RefSeq lists it as uncharacterized. NCBI's taxonomy places the organism in Eukaryota, Metazoa, Arthropoda, Insecta, Hemiptera, Aphididae. The transcript has 4 exons. The record is from RefSeq and is a predicted model, not a curated record.
GUAGUCAACCAUUUACGAUCCACUGUCCGUCAACUCGUCUAAUUCUGAAGUUUUUAGUAUACUACAAUGUAUGUAGUUACAGGCUAAUUCAUUUUCUCUACUUGUAUUAAAUAGUUGUAUACAAUAUUCCUCACUGUUUUUAUUGUUAUAAAUAAUAAUACAUUAAUAUGUAACUUUAGGCGUUUUUAACGAACUAUUAUUUGCAUACCUUUGGUCAAUAAUUGAUAAUUUAUGAAAGGAAUACGUGUUUGUGAUAAUGUGGCGAAAAAUGCAUGACUAAUUCAUAUGCCGCCAGUCACAAGGGAUGGUUCAAUGAGAGUCUCGCUAAGAUUAACGCUAUAUCAUUGGAAUGCAGAGGUCUUUGUUGAAGCCACCUCCCUAUAUUCUUACUCUAUGCACCUGCCACUCUGGCUGCCUCGACCUGCACGUCGGCUCCUCUCUUCAGUACGAGAACAACAGACGGUGUGGACGUGUGGUUGGUUUACCACACGUCCGCACCACAUCCUGCGAGCGACAUUGGGUCUUUACAUUUUAACGAAAAUAUAUCAGUAUUCUAUUUAUUUUGAUUCGAGUGUCAAGACAACUGCAUAAAUCAAAUACAACUGCGAAUAAGCUUGAUAAACAUUCAACAUAUAAUGGUCCAAAUCCUGUUCGUCGCAACUACCUCCACCACUUUGAAGAUCUCCUAACCUUAAGUUGAAUCCUGGUACAAUAUCGGGAUGGAAUUUUCGCUUAGAGGCACAUCCAUGUGACGACAAAGUGCCCAACGCCAUUAAUUUAAAUCGUUCUUUCGGUUAUUCAAACGGCGGACAAGAUUUUUGGAUUUGUCUUAAGACAGCUUGUAGUCCGGGAUAUGGGCUGUUGGCCGUUUUUGUGGAUUUUCAUGUGAAAACGUCUCUAGUGCAUCGUGAUGGGAAUGUAUAAUGAGGAAGGUGACAGCAAGCAACAUUAUCACACUUGUAACAGACGCCAUCGUGUUGUUGGUUUGACGCGGGGAUGAAGUAAUGUGAACCAUAAAUACAGUAAUUAGAAAAAGUCCGAAAUACAAUUGAAAAUCACAGCAUUCGCAACGAGCGGGCGCGGCGCGUAAGUGAAAAGUGUGUACGGCAAAGAAAAUUACUGUUCGAAAAUCAUGGAGUACAAAAGUUUAAAAUCAAAGCGAUUUGGAUUUGAGUGUUAAGACAACUGCAUAAAUCAAAUCCUACCGCGGUCUGCGAAUAAGUUCUACCGACUGAGCUAGUCGGGCAAUCUGGCAGUUCGACCAUACAGCGUGUUACAUAUACCAGCCUUUAAUAUUGUCAUCCUCUAUGCAUAGAUAGAUAUAUUAGCUUAACUUAGGUUAAGUGUUUUUAUUUUUACUCUAAUUGUAUAAACAUCUAUUAUAUAACCUAUACUAACCUAAUUAUUAUUGAAUUAAAUUAUAAUUUUUUUAAAUAUAUAGGUAUGAUGUAUUGAUGCACAAAAAGUUAUGACUUAACUUGUAUUAACUUAGAUUAGGUUAGGUGUAUUUAUUAUUAUUCUAAUUGUAUAAACAUCUAUUAUAUAACUUAUACUAACUUAAUUAUUCUUAACUUAAAUUAAUCGCAAUUUGUUUUUCACUUUGAUUUUUAACGUUUUGUACUUCCUGAUUUUCAAACAGUAAUUUUCUUCGACGUACACACUUUUCACUUACGCACCGCGCCCGCUCGUUGCGAAUGCUGUAGUUUUUAAUUGUAUUUUGGACUUAUUCUAAUUACUUUAGUUAUGAUUCACAUUACUUCAUCUUCGAGUCAAACCAACAAUACAAUGGCGUCUGUUACAAGUCUGUUAUUGUUGUUUGCAGUCACCUUCCCCAUUAUACAGGCGAUUUCUAUCACGAUGCACCUGAGACGUUUUUCACAUGAAAAAUCACAGGAAAGACCAAAAACCCAGAUUCCACAUCUGUAAGUUGUUUUAAGAAAAAUUCAAGAACCUUGUCUUCCAUAAGGAUCACUGGACGAACGAUUUAAAAUAAUGGCGUUGGGUACUUUGUCGCCGCCGAUAGGUGGAUGUGCCUCUAAGCAAAAUUUCUAUCACGAUAUAUUGUAUUGAGUUCAAUUUAAGGUUGGGCGAUCUUCAAAGUGGAGGUGGUAGUUGUGGAGAACAGGAUUUGGACUACUACAUAAAUUACAACUAUUUAUCCAUAAAUAUAUUAUAAAUAAUACUAAAAUAAACUAUAAAUAUAAACUAAUAAAAUACAAAACAAAAAACACUCAAAUUAGGCAAAUCCAUAUAGAUACGAAAUCAACCAUAGGUAUAUAGAAAGUAAAUACAUAAUAUAUAGAUAUAAAAAGAAUUGGGUAGGCUACUUACAAUUAUUUUAUUAUAAGACAAAUAUCACUAACUAUAUAGCUAAUAAGUUAUAAUAUCAUGUAUUCACUAUUUAUGUAAAAGUAGAAAUUAAGCAAAAAUCACAAUAUUAUUUCAUUAUAUUAUACAAUAAUGUUAAACUUCAAUAAAAUUAUACUACCUAAUAUUUGGAUUCGAGUGUUUAAAACUUUUUAACCUUAUUAAAACAACUGCACAAAUUUAACACAACUGUGAAUAAGGUAAGGUGUAAGAGGAUCAUAUUAUCUAUAUUAAUUUUUAUAAUUAAUUUAUCAAUAUUUUAUUACCACGGCGUACUUGGUCAUAUUCUCGAAUCAUGACCUCGAGAGCCCUCUGACGAUCAAAAGGAAGGUAAUAGCAAAAAUUAAAAUAAUUUAAUACUCAUAUCUAAGACUAUAUUCUCCAGCACAUAUAAGUGUAGGGAAGAGUUCCACAGAUUCAUGCAUUCAUUCAAGGCUUAUGUCCCUUGUGUUUGCCUCACAUUAAAUUUAAUAAACGUACUUAAACUUUCUUAUUAAUUUAAAAUUUAAAUUACUUUAUUAAUUAAUAAUUUAUAUUUUUGUUUUAUUUCUUUUCUUUUCUUUUUGUGUUAUUACAGAUAAUAAUUUUUAAAUGUAGCUUUUGACACAAAGGCCUCAUGAUAAUCAAUUUUUUUUUUUAAAGUAAUACAAAUUUUUAAUUUAACUUAAUGAUAACUCGACAACCUUAUUACUAUAGAUACAGUUAUAAGCUCAAAUGAAAUUCUUCACGAUAUACUUCAUUUACCCUUCAAUUACGUCACCGUCGGACUAUAUAAUCUAUAAUAUAUGUAUACCUCGUCCUAAUACGUAAUACGGUAAUACGUAAGUCUAGACGACAAAUUUAAGGGUUGAUCAGGUAUAUCGGAAUAUACCAGGCAGCAGCUGACCAAUAAGUACGAAUUAUCAAAAAGUAUAGUAUAUUAGUAUAAUGAUCGGCGACGAUAAAAGGUAGAGUAUAAUGGUCGCGAACGAUUAUAGGAAGUGAAACAUAGCACAUUAUAUUGCAGUUAUGUAUCACAUAAGUGGUAUGAACUCAGCGAGUAUAUACAAAAAUUCCGAGUGUAUUAUAAUAUUGCU